GAUGAACGCUGGCGGCGUGCCUAAUACAUGCAAGUCGAGCGAACAGACGAGGAGCUUGCUCCUCUGACGUUAGCGGCGGACGGGUGAGUAACACGUGGAUAACCUACCUAUAAGACUGGGAUAACUUCGGGAAACCGGAGCUAAUACCGGAUAAUAUAUUGAACCGCAUGGUUCAAUAGUGAAAGACGGUUUUGCUGUCACUUAUAGAUGGAUCCGCGCCGCAUUAGCUAGUUGGUAAGGUAACGGGUUACCAAGGCAACGAUGCGUAGCCGACCUGAGAGGGUGAUAGGCCACACUGGAAGUGAGACACGGUCCAGACUCCUACGGGAGGCAGCAGUAGGGAAUCUUCCGCAAUGGGCGAAAGCAUGACGGAGCAACGCCGCGUGAGUGAUGAAGGUCUUCGGAUCGUAAAACUCUGUUAUUAGGGAAGAACAAAUGUGUAAGUAACUAUGCACGUCUUGACGGUACCUAAUCAGAAAGCCACGGCUAACUACGUG
This 497-nucleotide ribosomal RNA is filed under the name uncultured bacterium. RNAcentral's name for it is "partial 16S ribosomal RNA". It matches the Rfam family "Bacterial small subunit ribosomal RNA", at positions 28 to 507 of the family's 1533-position model. The record is from RNAcentral.